AAGCAUCAUGAAAACUAUCGUAGUCUUAGUUGCAUUGUGCAUCGCCUGUUCUCUUGCACAGACUGAAGGUGAUGGUUCGUGUGAGGUGGACGGCACGGUCUAUGCUGAAGGAGAACUGACCCCUGACCCCUGCAACAGGUGCCGUUGCUGGGGAGGUCUGGUCGUCUGCGUCCUCCGAGGCUGCCCAACAGACCGUAAACGAAGACCAGUCUCGAAGUAACAACAUUAUAAGCAGUCGUCAAGUUCACUCUCCAUGUGAA
This is a long non-coding RNA of Physella acuta, 260 nucleotides long. RefSeq lists it as uncharacterized. Lineage: Eukaryota; Metazoa; Mollusca; Gastropoda; Physidae. The record is from RefSeq and is a predicted model, not a curated record.